UGGGGAAUCUUGCGCAAUGGGCGAAAGCCUGACGCAGCAACGCCGCGUGCGGGAUGAAGGCCUUCGGGUUGUAAACCGCUUUCAGCAGGGACGAAGAUGACGGUACCUGCAGAAGAAGCCCCGGCCAACUACGUGCCAGCAGCCGCGGUAACACGUAGGGGGCGAGCGUUGUCCGGAUUUAUUGGGCGUAAAGAGCUCGUAGGCGGUUCCGUCAGUCGGGUGUGAAAACUCUGGGCUCAACCCAGAGACGCCACCCGAUACUGCGGUGACUAGAGUCCGGUAGGGGAGUGCGGAAUUCCUGGUGUAGCGGUGAAAUGCGCAGAUAUCAGGAGGAACACCAACGGCGAAGGCAGCACUCUGGGCCGGUACUGACGCUGAGGAGCGAAAGCGUGGGGAGCGAACAGG
Molecule: ribosomal RNA, 405 nt
Filed under: uncultured Acidimicrobiales bacterium
Lineage: Bacteria; Bacillati; Actinomycetota; Acidimicrobiia; Acidimicrobiales
Description: bacterial SSU rRNA
Rfam family: Bacterial small subunit ribosomal RNA
Source: RNAcentral